RNAcentral lists this ribosomal RNA (264 nucleotides) under uncultured bacterium. Its description in RNAcentral is "partial small subunit ribosomal RNA". It matches the Rfam family "Bacterial small subunit ribosomal RNA", at positions 26 to 291 of the family's 1533-position model. The record is from RNAcentral.
AGGAUAAACGCUGGCGGCGUGCCUAAUGCAUGCAAGUCGAACGGAGUAGGCCUUCGGGCAUACUGAGUGGCGGACGGGUGAGGAACACGUACGAGACCUGCCCUCGGAUGGGGAAUAAGCCCUCGAAAGGGGGUCUAAUGCCGCAUACGGUCCCAAGCAGCAAGGUUUGGGAGGAAAGCUCGAGAGGGCGUCCGAGGAGGGGCGUGCGGCCGAUUAGCUAGUUGGUGGGGUAAAGGCUUACCAAGGCGACGAUCGGUAGCUGGU